CCUACGGGAGGCAGCAGUGGGGAAUAUUGCACAAUGGGGGGAACCCUGAUGCAGCGACGCCGCGUGAGUGAAGAAGUAUUUCGGUAUGUAAAGCUCUAUCAGCAGGGAAGAAAAUGACGGUACCUGACUAAGAAGCCCCGGCUAACUACGUGCCAGCAGCCGCGGUAAUACGUAGGGGGCAAGCGUUAUCCGGAUUUACUGGGUGUAAAGGGAGCGUAGACGGCAGAGCAAGUCUGAAGUGAAAGCCCGCGGCCCAACUGCGGGACUGCUUUGGAAACUGCCCGGCUAGAGUGCUGGAGAGGUAAGCGGAAUUCCUAGUGUAGCGGUGAAAUGCGUAGAUAUCACGCAGAACCCCGAUUGCGAAGGCAGCAUGCCGGCUUCCGACUGACGCUGAAGCACGAAAGCGUGGGGAUCGAACAGGAUUAGAUACCCUAGUAGUC
RNAcentral lists this ribosomal RNA (440 nucleotides) under uncultured bacterium. RNAcentral describes it as "partial 16S ribosomal RNA". It matches the Rfam family "Bacterial small subunit ribosomal RNA", at positions 338 to 795 of the family's 1533-position model. The record is from RNAcentral.